AUCCGGUUAGCUCAGUCAGUAGAGCAACAGACUUUUAAUCUGAGGGUCAAGGGUUCAAGUCCCUUUAUCGGGCG
This is a non-coding RNA of Biomphalaria pfeifferi, 74 nucleotides long. The record is from the annotation of a GenBank genome assembly. Lineage: Eukaryota; Metazoa; Mollusca; Gastropoda; Planorbidae.